AGUUUGAUCCUGGCUCAGAAUGAACGUUGGCGGCGUGGAUUAGGCAUGCAAGUCGGUCGUCCCGCAAGGGACGAGGCGCAAGGGUGAGUAAGGCGGAGGCAACCAACCCCACACAUGGGUAUAGCCGCGGGAAACUGCGGGUAAUCCCCAGCGACGUCGCCGGAGGACAUCCUCUGGCGACCAAAGGUGUGAGUCCGGUGUGGGACGGGCCUCCGUGGUAUCAGCUAGUUGGUGAGGUAACGGCUCACCAAGGCGAUGACGCCUACCGGGCGUGCGAGCGUGGCCCGGCACACUGGGACUGAGACACUGCCCAGACUCCUACGGGAGGCUGCAGUCGAGAAUCUUCGGCAAUGGGCGCAAGCCUGACCGAGCGACGCCGCGUGGAGGACGAAGGCCUUCGGGUUGUAAACUCCUGUCGAGGGGGAGGAAGAGGUGGUGAAGAACCAUCUUUGACCGAUCCCUGGAGGAAGCACGGGCUAAGUUCGUGCCAGCAGCCGCGGUAAGACGAACCGUGCGAACGUUAUUCGGAAUCACUGGGCUUAAAGCGCGUGUAGGCGGCCUGGAGCGUCAGCAGCUGAAAUCCCCCGGCUCAACCGGGGAACGGGCUCUGAAACGUCCAGGCUGGAGGGGGGUAGGGGGAGCCGGAACUCACGGUGGAGCGGUGAAAUUCGUAGAUAUUCGGAAGAACACCAGUGGCGAAGGCGACUCACUGGACAGGUAUUGACGCUGA
Molecule: ribosomal RNA, 730 nt
Filed under: uncultured bacterium
Lineage: Bacteria
Description: bacterial SSU rRNA
Rfam family: Bacterial small subunit ribosomal RNA
Source: RNAcentral